UGAAGUAACAGAAGCGAAUUUGCUCCCCUCUUUUUUAAUAUUAGGGUUGAAGCCAUUAAAAGCAAUCACACGCACAGAAAAAAAAAAUCCUACUAAUUCUAGCAUAAAUUAAAGUUGUAUUAAAGAGAUAUACUCAAUAAUAUAUAGAGAGAGAAAGAAAGAGAUAAGUGGACCUAUACAAUCUGCUGAUGAAAAAACAUGCGAAGAUUACGAAAAGAAUAUUCAGUUAUUCUCAUCUUAUGUUACCACAACCAGGGAGACCUCUCUCUCUCUUGAACUUACUAGCCAGGAACACUCGUUUAUAAAUCAUUUCUUACUGGAUGGGAAUCUAUCAUGAUAAGAAGAAAAUG
Molecule: unclassified non-coding RNA, 350 nt
Filed under: Hevea brasiliensis (rubber tree)
Lineage: Eukaryota; Viridiplantae; Streptophyta; Magnoliopsida; Malpighiales; Euphorbiaceae
Source: RNAcentral